RNAcentral lists this ribosomal RNA (1369 nucleotides) under Escherichia coli. RNAcentral's name for it is "partial 23S ribosomal RNA". It matches the Rfam family "Bacterial large subunit ribosomal RNA", at positions 1570 to 2916 of the family's 2925-position model. The record is from RNAcentral. Lineage: Bacteria; Pseudomonadati; Pseudomonadota; Gammaproteobacteria; Enterobacterales; Enterobacteriaceae.
GAGGCACUGCGGUGCUGAAGCAACAAAUGCCCUGCUUCCAGGAAAAGCCUCUAAGCAUCAGGUAACAUCAAAUCGUACCCCAAACCGACACAGGUGGUCAGGUAGAGAAUACCAAGGCGCUUGAGAGAACUCGGGUGAAGGAACUAGGCAAAAUGGUGCCGUAACUUCGGGAGAAGGCACGCUGAUAUGUAGGUGAAGUCCCUCGCGGAUGGAGCUGAAAUCAGUCGAAGAUACCAGCUGGCUGCAACUGUUUAUUAAAAACACAGCACUGUGCAAACACGAAAGUGGACGUAUACGGUGUGACGCCUGCCCGGUGCCGGAAGGUUAAUUGAUGGGGUUAGCGCAAGCGAAGCUCUUGAUCGAAGCCCCGGUAAACGGCGGCCGUAACUAUAACGGUCCUAAGGUAGCGAAAUUCCUUGUCGGGUAAGUUCCGACCUGCACGAAUGGCGUAAUGAUGGCCAGGCUGUCUCCACCCGAGACUCAGUGAAAUUGAACUCGCUGUGAAGAUGCAGUGUACCCGCGGCAAGACGGAAAGACCCCGUGAACCUUUACUAUAGCUUGACACUGAACAUUGAGCCUUGAUGUGUAGGAUAGGUGGGAGGCUUUGAAGUGUGGACGCCAGUCUGCAUGGAGCCGACCUUGAAAUACCACCCUUUAAUGUUUGAUGUUCUAACGUUGACCCGUAAUCCGGGUUGCGGACAGUGUCUGGUGGGUAGUUUGACUGGGGCGGUCUCCUCCUAAAGAGUAACGGAGGAGCACGAAGGUUGGCUAAUCCUGGUCGGACAUCAGGAGGUUAGUGCAAUGGCAUAAGCCAGCUUGACUGCGAGCGUGACGGCGCGAGCAGGUGCGAAAGCAGGUCAUAGUGAUCCGGUGGUUCUGAAUGGAAGGGCCAUCGCUCAACGGAUAAAAGGUACUCCGGGGAUAACAGGCUGAUACCGCCCAAGAGUUCAUAUCGACGGCGGUGUUUGGCACCUCGAUGUCGGCUCAUCACAUCCUGGGGCUGAAGUAGGUCCCAAGGGUAUGGCUGUUCGCCAUUUAAAGUGGUACGCGAGCUGGGUUUAGAACGUCGUGAGACAGUUCGGUCCCUAUCUGCCGUGGGCGCUGGAGAACUGAGGGGGGCUGCUCCUAGUACGAGAGGACCGGAGUGGACGCAUCACUGGUGUUCGGGUUGUCAUGCCAAUGGCACUGCCCGGUAGCUAAAUGCGGAAGAGAUAAGUGCUGAAAGCAUCUAAGCACGAAACUUGCCCCGAGAUGAGUUCUCCCUGACUCCUUGAGAGUCCUGAAGGAACGUUGAAGACGACGACGUUGAUAGGCCGGGUGUGUAAGCGCAGCGAUGCGUUGAGCUAACCGGUACUAAUGAACCGUGAGG